RNAcentral lists this ribosomal RNA (797 nucleotides) under uncultured bacterium. RNAcentral's name for it is "bacterial SSU rRNA". It matches the Rfam family "Bacterial small subunit ribosomal RNA", at positions 8 to 796 of the family's 1533-position model. The record is from RNAcentral.
AGAGUUUGAUCCUGGCUCAGGAUGAACGCUAGCGGCAGGCUUAAUACAUGCAAGUCGAGGGGCAGCAUGACUGUAGCAAUACAGUCGAUGGCGACCGGCAAACGGGUGCGGAACACGUACACAACCUUCCUUUAAGCGGGGAAUAGCCCAGAGAAAUUUGGAUUAAUACCCCAUAGUAAAUCGAGUAGGCAUCUAUUUGAUUUUAAAGAUUUAUCACUUGAAGAUGGGUGUGCGGCUGAUUAGAUAGUUGGCGGGGUAACGGCCCACCAAGUCUGCGAUCAGUAACUGGUGUGAGAGCACGACCAGUCACACGGGCACUGAGACACGGGCCCGACUCCUACGGGAGGCAGCAGUAAGGAAUAUUGGUCAAUGGACGAAAGUCUGAACCAGCCAUGCCGCAUGGAGGAUGAAGGUCCUCUGGAUUGUAAACUUCUUUUAUCUGGGACGAAAAAAGGCUUUUCUAAGUCGUCUGACGGUACCAGAUGAAUAAGCACCGGCUAACUCCGUGCCAGCAGCCGCGGUAAUACGGAGGGUGCAAGCGUUAUCCGGAUUCACUGGGUUUAAAGGGUGCGUAGGUGGGUUGGUAAGUCAGUGGUGAAAUCUCCGAGCUUAACUUGGAAACUGCCAUUGAUACUAUCAGUCUUGAAUAUUGUGGAGGUCAGCGGAAUAUGUCAUGUAGCGGUGAAAUGCUUAGAUAUGACAUAGAACACCAAUUGCGAAGGCAGCUGGCUACACAUAUAUUGACACUGAGGCACGAAAGCGUGGGGAUCAAACAGGAUUAGAUACCCUGGUAGUCC